UACGUAGGGGGCGAGCGUUGUCCGGAGUUACUGGGCGUAAAGGGCGCGCAGGCGGUCUGGUAAGUUUGGAGUGACAGUGCUCGGCUUAACUGAGCAAGGCCUUUGAAAACUGCCAGACUUGAGCACUCAAGAGGGACAUAGAAUUCCGGGUGGAGUGGUGAAAUGCGUAGAUAUCCGGAGGAAUACCAAAGGCGAAGGCAGUGUCCUGGGGAGUGUCUGACGCUCAGGCGCGAAAGCUAGGGGAGCGAAC
RNAcentral lists this ribosomal RNA (250 nucleotides) under uncultured bacterium. Its description in RNAcentral is "partial 16S ribosomal RNA". It matches the Rfam family "Bacterial small subunit ribosomal RNA", at positions 524 to 773 of the family's 1533-position model. The record is from RNAcentral.